CCUUGAUAAACGCUGNGCGGCGUGCCUAACACAUGCAAGUCGAACGCCCUUAGCAAUAGGGGAGUGGCGGACGGGUGAGGAACACGUGGGUGCACCUACCCUAAAGUGAGGAAUACCAUCGGGAAACCGAUGACAAGACCGCAUACGUUCCGUAAGGAGCAAAGCUCGCAAGGGCGCUUUGGGAUGGGCCCGCGUCCGAUUAGCUGGUUGGUGGGGUAAAAGCCUACCAAGGCGACGAUCGGUAGCUGGUCUGAGAGGACGAUCAGCCACACUGGGAUUGAGAACGGCCCAGACUCCUACGGGGGGCAGCAGUGAGGAAUUUUCGUCAAUGGGGGAAACCCUGAACGAGCAACGCCGCGUGCAGGAAGAAGGUCUUCGGAUCGUAAACUGCUUUUCUCUGGGACGAGCAAGGACGGUACCAGAGGAAUCAGCCUCGGCUAACUACGUGCCAGCAGCCGCGGUAAUACGUAGGAGGCAAGCGUUGUCCGGAGUUACUGGGCGUAAAGCGCACGCAGGCGGUCGUGCAAGUUUGGAGUGACAGUGCCCGGCUUAACUGGGCUAGUGCUUCGAAAACUGCGCGACUUGAGGGCUUCAGA
This 596-nucleotide ribosomal RNA is filed under the name uncultured bacterium. RNAcentral describes it as "bacterial SSU rRNA". It matches the Rfam family "Bacterial small subunit ribosomal RNA", at positions 24 to 655 of the family's 1533-position model. The record is from RNAcentral.